CUGGGUCGUCCAAUCAGGUUGCAACAGUAACUCUCAAGUCCCACUUUUCACCACAGCCGUCGGAUACGAUAAUUGUUUUCUCACUUUAUGAUCUUCCGAACAAGUCAAUGACGUAUGGGACCAGCUACCCGUGGGGGCCGCCGGUCGGAGGCAGCCACGCUCGCUCGUCCGCGUCUGUCCGCCAGAGGUGAGAGAAUCUAGAUCGAAGGAGCUCCCCAAUCCUGGCCUCGCUCCUCGCUCCCCAAUCCCCGUCCCUCUUUUCCCCAAACCGCCAGAGGUGAGAGAAUCUCCUGCAGUGAGCUCCGAUGGAGGCGGCGACCAGCGGGUGGAGGUGAGGCGGGAGCGGCCGGAGACGGGAUCGCGCGGGGCGGAUCCACGGCGGCGACUGGAGGCUCCGGACACGGCCGGAGACGGGCCGGCGCGGGGUGGAUCUGCUCCGGCGACGACCGGAGGCGACGUGCUCGCGCGGGGCGGAUCCGCCACACUUUGGCUCACGCGACUCGGCGGUCAGUGGCAGCCAGGCACGCUCGUUCGUGGUCACCAUGCUUCCCCAAUCCCCAUCCUCUCUUCCUGCCCAAUCCCGUCCUCCUCUCCUCUCCCUAAUCAGCCGCCUCCUCCCCUGCCGUUCCUCCAAUCCCAGACCAACGCCUCUCUCUCCCCUUUGGCGGGCUCAGCGCAGCGGCGGGUGAUGCGGGGCAGCUCAGCGCGGCGGCUCAGUGCGGCGGUGGUGGCUGACGCGCUCUGCCGCUGCUGCAUCUCCUUAGGCACGGACGGAUAUCUUGAUGCGCCAGCUGCAACAAGUUGCCCUUGAGUAUGGACAGGUUGAGGAAUGGUGUUGAUUUGAUGAUUUCUGCGUGGGCUCGUUCGUGAAGGAUGCCAAUGUUGAAAAGUGCUAAUGCGGAUAUACAUUUCAUUCCAAAAACUGAGGGCUGAUUCAAUUCCAAACAUGCAGUCAAUUAUUUCUGCUUCAGAUGCCUAUACUGUUUAAUUCUCCUUCCCACAUGCAAUGGUGGCUCAUGGAGAUCUGGGUGCUAAACUUGCAGUUGAGGAAGUACCUUUACUACAGGGAAACAACAGAAGACCGUUCAGCCUCAUUCUACACUUCAAUUGCAAAGGUUUUGUAAUGUAUGUGUCUAUGACAUAUUGACCUUCUAAGGAGUUGCUUUCUGGAUUUGCUCGCUGCUCUAUGAAUCUAUUAUUUUAAGAAAUGAUGCCGGCCGCUCCUCCCCUCCGUCGUCCCUCUUCACCUGCUGGGUCCUCGCGGCUGGACGUCGUGGCCGUACUGGUGGAGCCGUCCAGCGACGUCGCCGGCGCCGUGAUGUUGACCACUGCAGCAGCCUGAGAAGAGAGGCCGGAUGCACUGGUGAUGGUCGCCACUCUCCGGCUGCAGGCGAGGCGACAUGCUGCUGCACUCCACCUCCCCAACGAGCUGCUGCCUGUGAGGUUCAAAUCAUGUCGGGGGAGGAGGAGCCCAAGGGCGCGAGGUGUGGUUACCGGGAGACUGCCUCGUGUGGUGUUCCGGUGUUUGUGGUGCCCUCCGGUGGUGAUGUCCACCGGAGCUCCUGACGGCAACGGUGAUGCCAUGAACGGGCUGCUGCUGGUUGAACCGCUGCCACGACAAGGAGGAUCAAGCUCAUCUCCUGAAGUCAGUUGUGCCUGUAGAGCCAUGUAUAGCUGCUGCUUGUUCUUCCUAUAAAUGUCCCAAGACUACCCGGCCAACCAGGGCACCCAAAAGGGGCAAAAAGAUCUGGUUCGUUCGUUCCACCCUGUACAAGUAUAAGGAAACUUAAAUUAUAUCGAGAGGUUUAUAGGUUGGAUGCGCACUGACUUCUGAAACUCAUUAAUCUAGACACCUUGGUUCUGGAGCUUUUGUGAUGAAUGACAAAUGAGGUUUUGAUCGUUCGAUCAUGCUGGUAGUAGGCCAUUGCCCCUUCAAGCCAGCAAGAUGCUUGUUGUACGUCGAUGAAUAAGGGCGUCCAUCCAAGAUACCAAGGACUGCCCUCUUGUUUCUAUCCUUAAAAGCUGCUGCGCUACCCGGCCAACCGAGGCCUCCCAAGGGGCACAUUGAUCUGGCUCGUUCGUUUUGCCCAACGACAGUAAAUUCGUUCCCCACUUUUCAUCACAACCGCUCAAUACGGUAAAAAAAAAAAAAUUAACCCGCUACUGCUCAUUUUGAGCCCCUGUAUGAUGGGCCCGUGGGCGUGCGGGGCAGCCAGCCAGAGACAGCGACACCAGCGACACCAGCUCGCUCACGUCGCCUUCCUUUCUGUGUGCGCGUGGGGGCAGGAGGUGGUGAAAACCUAGAUCGGCGCGGAGGGUGGCGGCAGCGCACCGCCUUGCGCCGCCUCUCCCCGAGAUGGAGCCAUUCGGGGAUGGCCAUGGUGGUAAGCUGGAGGAGGCGAUACGGGAGGAGGAGGGUGCGGACCUUUUUCCCCAACGCAUGCAGUGGCGCCCGAGCAACGGGGGCGUUGACGCCGGCGGCUGGACGCGGCAGCGUUGGGGACGGACGAUGCAUCAACGCGGAGCAGCAGCAUGCUCUGGAUGCGAGCUCGUCCGUUUCCUGUGACGCCAUGCUGCUGGCCAAGCAGGGCAAUUUGUGAGAUGACUGAAUGCUCCUGGAAGAAAACGAGGACAAUAGCAUCACUCCCACAUGUGAACUCCAUGCUCAUCGCUUGUUAAUUUCCUCGAGAAAAUGAUGAGAUGCAUGUUGUUCAACUUGUGUAGAUUUCUCUGAAAAUAUAUGGAGAAGUUAAAUAUGACGAGGAUUCUGAUCAGAUAUGAAUUGGUACUGGGCUGGAUGCUGAAGCACUUAAUUACCGUAUGGAGACUAGCUCAAGAGACAGAAGAUGUACCUCAAAGAAUCUGUCCCAAAAACUAACAAAGUUGCUUGAAGAAUUUCUGGUUCAUGGCACCUUCAUGAUAGUGCUAUUAUCUGGUUGAAAUAUCUGGUAGACUAUUGGGUAAUCUUGUCCCAGAAAGUUGUUUUUUAUACACUAUUAGCAUUGAAAUUAAACUUGAUAUUUGAUGAAAUGUUACCAUGACUGGAUGUUUGAUGCAAAAGUAGACUAGGGUACCAUCAGGUUUGCCAAUAAUGUUUCUGAUGCUGAUCAGCGCCUGCCAUGAUGGUGCUCGUUUCGGUGUGUGGUGGCGGGUCUGCUCGGCAAAAGUUGGACGUCCUACUCCGGCAGAGGCCGCAGCAGCUGGUGGAUGGCGAAGGCCGCAACAGCUCGACUCCUCCUCUUUUCUCUCCCGCCAAGAAGAAGCACCAGACAGCUGGGGAGGUUCUAGACCUUCAUGCAGGUAAAUUGGUGUCAAUUAGCAGCAAUGGACUAGGACAUCAGCUGUGUGCGCUCGAGUACCAGGAAGCAAGCCAAAAGUGUCUGCUCCAAGGUUGCCAGUUGUGAUUCUGGUCACUUUUCAAGCAGAGAAGCAUGAUGAAAAUAGAAUAGUGCCUUUGGAGAUUCAGGUGAAGUUAUAGUUGCAAUAGGAAAAGGGAGAUGGGCCAAUAGCUUUCACUCACUGUCCUCACUAAAGAUCUGUUCACUAGGUUAAAAACUGCAGAUUUUGUUAUGAUGGUCUUACUACGCCGAGAUGCUUGCUCAGAGCUCAUGGAUCACGCACGAAGAAAUGAGGAGGAUUCUGUUGCCCAAAUGUGGUCCGAGUGGGGUGUUAUGAUGGGAUGAUGCUCUUACAGUAUUUUGGGCCAUUGACAUACAACCAGGUUACUACCGUUCCUUGACAAGAUGAACAUAUGAAAGUCUGUUAUAUUUUAUUCCGUUACUAUUAUGAUGAUUCGUUUGUAGUUGUACUACUUCUCAGUUUGCCUUUAACAUGAAAACACUGACUGGUUGCAGUUAACAGAGCUCUCCUAAAAAUUCUACCAGCAUUUCUUUUGUCAUUUCAAUGAUUGUCGUACUACUAUUUUCAGUCUGCUUCAAUCUAUAUGCAUAGUCAGUCGAUUCUGUUUUUUACAUUUGUGCCUGAAAAAUAUGGUGUAAAUCAUCCUCUUGAAAUUCUCUGGGAGAUAUUGAAGCCCUAAAGGUGUAAGCUUACACAAAUAAAGACGGUAAUGACCAGUUACUUAAGUUUGUUGCUUUUGAUUCUUUGCCUAAUAAACAUGCCUGCCAAUGUUAAGACAACUCACGUAGCCAGAAGAUAUUUUGUUUGCUUUCCCCUUCCGUUGCUUCUCUUUAUCUAUCUCCCCUUACUAAGAUCCAGAAGUAUUGUUAAAGAAGAUCCAGAAGCAGACCUUUCUGAAGCCGAGUCAAGUUUGUAUUUGCCUGGCUCGAUGGAUGAAGAACUAUUUGCGGAUCUCCCCACGGCAUCGUGUGCUGCAGCAGGCAUUGGAGACUGUAGGCAUGUCUAUGCUCUGAACAACGACACGCUAUGACGAGGAGAACGAGAUGCUCACUGCUAUUCGCAUCCAUGUUCCUCUGCAUCCGAAUUCCCCGCCUCACAACAAAUCUCUUCUACAGUGACUGGUCUGCAUACCCGAAUGUAUGCACGAAUCAGUAUUAUUACAGAAAAUGAAUUGAAUAGUAUCUCCAUUUCAUCUCAAAAAAAUGUAGAAUAAUACUAAAGAAAGAAAUUUCCCAUCCAUGUAGAUGAAGUACCCCAAUCAGUUUAUAAUGUUUAAGACCAAUUAUUGAACAUUUGUUCUUCAACAUUUGCUUUUGCUUU
This is a non-coding RNA of Lolium perenne, 4680 nucleotides long. The record is from RefSeq and is a predicted model, not a curated record. NCBI's taxonomy places the organism in Eukaryota, Viridiplantae, Streptophyta, Magnoliopsida, Poales, Poaceae.